RNAcentral lists this ribosomal RNA (611 nucleotides) under uncultured bacterium. RNAcentral describes it as "bacterial SSU rRNA". It matches the Rfam family "Bacterial small subunit ribosomal RNA", at positions 338 to 951 of the family's 1533-position model. The record is from RNAcentral.
CCUACGGGAGGCAGCAGUGAGGAAUAUUGGACAAUGGGCGCAAGCCUGAUCCAGCCAUGCCGCGUGCAGGAUGAAGCAUCUAUGGUGUGUAAACUGCUUUUAUACAGGAAGAAACCUCCCGACGUGUCGGGAAUUGACGGUACUGUAAGAAUAAGGAUCGGCUAACUCCGUGCCAGCAGCCGCGGUAAUACGGAGGAUCCAAGCGUUAUCCGGAAUCAUUGGGUUUAAAGGGUCCGUAGGCGGGCCAGUAAGUCAGUGGUGAAAUCUCUCCGCUCAACGGGGAAAUGGCCAUUGAUACUGCUGGUCUUGAAUUAUUAGGAAGUAACUAGAAUAUGUAGUGUAGCGGUGAAAUGCUUAGAGAUUACAUGGAAUACCAAUUGCGAAGGCAGGUUACUACUAAUGGAUUGACGCUGAUGGACGAAAGCGUGGGUAGCGAACAGGAUUAGAUACCCUGGUAGUCCACGCCGUAAACGAUGGAUACUAGCUGUUGGGGGUCAACUUCAGUGGCUAAGCGAAAGUGAUAAGUAUCCCACCUGGGGAGUACGUUCGCAAGAAUGAAACUUAAAGGAAUUGACGGCUGGAGAGNGCGACGACGACGACGAGGGAGGAGG